This is a non-coding RNA of Podarcis lilfordi (Lilford's wall lizard), 71 nucleotides long. The record is from the annotation of a GenBank genome assembly. NCBI's taxonomy places the organism in Eukaryota, Metazoa, Chordata, Lepidosauria, Squamata, Lacertidae.
GUCUCUAUCUCAGCAGGCAGAGCAUGAGACUCUUAAACUCAGAAUUGUGGGUUUGAGCCCCACGUUGGGCA